UUCUGACGUCUUGGUACUCCACUUUGACGCGGUAGAGUACUGACUCAAAUUUUCUGGUAAAGUCCUGGAGUACCUCCCACGGAGGAUUAAAACACAAUUUCUUAUAGUUGUUGCCAUGCGUAGGGGUAGUGACGUGAUAAUUUGUUUGUGGGAGGGUGUUUUUGCAUUAGGUAUCCAUUUCAUCCCAAAUCGUUUUCAUUAUGUCGAUGAACCCUAGGCGUCCUGGCGGUGCAGGGGGAAGAGGAGGACGAGCCGACCGGACGGGGGGACGAGGCGCCGCCCGGCCUUGGUGUGCAUCCCCCGGCGGAUGCGCACAUCUGGAGCCGAUUGAGGAGGGGGACGAGCUGACGUGCGGGAGUGGCGUCCACCCCCGGCGGAUGAGCACAGGAGGUGCCGACCGGAUAGGGAGUGGCGUCGCCGAUUGAGGAGGGGGACGAGGAGACGCGCGGCAGUGGCGUCCACCCUCUCUGGCGCCUCCUCGCCCUUCUCCCUGACCUCUCCGCCAACUGAAGAAGGCGACCUACGGCGGCGCUCCGUCUCGGCGGCUGUAGUUUAUCAAUUCGGGAGGACCUUCUCAACAAAUAUGCUGAAGAGACGCUAAACUACUGCACUGUGGCUUCCAACAGUACUCUGCAUGAUGCAUUGGAUUUAACAGCGAUCCUUGUGAAGGAGAAGGAACAACAAAUUUUACAACUGGAGAACAAACUUGAUUUUGCAUGCUCACAACUGCACCAUUACAAGGAGAAGAACAAAGCUCAUAACAGAGCACAUGCCAAAAUACUUGAAGACGAGAUAUGCAAAUCUAGGAAAUAUUGUACACUUUUCUGGUUAAUGUUUAUAUUGUACGUAGCUAGAAUAAUGAUGCCCACCAUGUAGAGCAACCAUCAUCGAUGGAUUAUCUUAAGGUGAAAUCUUGUCAUGCCAGGACCAAAAGAUCAGGACUUUGUUACUGAGAAUAAUGUAAACAGCAUAUGGAGAAUAAAAUAUUCAAGGAAAUAUUGUA
Lolium rigidum is the source of this 1003-nucleotide long non-coding RNA. RefSeq lists it as uncharacterized. The record is from RefSeq and is a predicted model, not a curated record. The transcript has 2 exons. Lineage: Eukaryota; Viridiplantae; Streptophyta; Magnoliopsida; Poales; Poaceae.